CCUAUAAUCUGCACUCUAAGAAUUAGAGUAUGAGGGGACAUCAAGUCUUACCUCAAAGUUAACAACCUGAGAAGGGGGAGAAACCUUUGAUGCCAAAAAUAAACUUCUAAGUAUUACUUGUAUGACCCGAGGAAUAUGUGAGGAAAUUUAAUUUGGAGGUACUACCUCCAUUUUCAAAGCUAAACUCAAAAAUUUAAUUGAGAAAUAUGAUCAAAUUAUCCACUAGCAUUUCUUCAUCUCGAUACAAGGCAUCCCUAGUCUAUCUAAUCUCAGAGACCACGUGAGGCUCCAUCAUGUACUCUUCUGUGAUCAAAAGAUCUGAUCAGUACUUGGAGGAUAUCAGAAAUCCUCCGAAUGGAGCCAUUCAAUGUGAUUAUUUCUCAAUCUAGUGAGGACUGUUUGUAGAAUUUUGAAAAUGUGUCUUUUAGUAAUUACCUUUCUUUUUUUGUGUUAAUUGGUAUUUUAGAAAUGGUUAGCAAAAGUUAUUAGAGAUUCAUAGCAAAAACUUUAUGCUAUAAAUGUAGUAUUAUUUGCUCCCAUUGUUAUUCACUAAGCCAAAUGUGUUUUGGAAAUAUAGUACUUUUAUGUCACGUAAUGGUAGUAAACCUUCCUAAUUUUGUGCAUUUUCUAAGAUUCGUCACUUGGUGAGGGUUGUGUGUGUAGUUUGUAAGGUUUUGAAGGAAGAGUUAUAGGGAUUCAAGGCCGUAGAUUUUUUUGGCUUGUUUACCAUUUCUCUUUUAGUCGUCCAGUAUCUCUUUUGGCCUCAUACUUCAACAAUUAUUUCCAUUAACUAGUCUCUGUUCUUCUCUCCUUCACAUUUGCAGUUUCAUCCAGGGAAGAAUGUGGGUCUUGGCAAGGAUCACACACUUUACUCUUUGAUAGAUGGACUAGUCAAAUUUGAGAAGUUUGGGCCUGAUAAGAAAAGGUGAGUGUCUAUCCACGUGUGGAGCAGCCUGAAAAUCCCAACAGUUACAGAGCAAGAAAGAGAGAGUCCUUCAGAUUACAACGUGAACGUAGACGAGCACGAAGAGAUAGUUUGCUUGCUCAUCCGCAGCUUGUGCUUGCUUCUACUGCCGAAUCCACUGACUACAAUCCAGCUUGUCAAUGCUGACAGAUGUUACAUAUUACUAAUAUUUGCAGUAUCCAGUAUCCACUGUAUUCAUUACUAUGAAUCGUCACCGGCCUUGUACAAGGUUUGCUUCAUUAUAUUUUCAAUUUUUGCUGAGUAACUGUGUUAUUUUAUUAAUUAUUAUUUUUUCUUUUUUUGAGAUUAAGAUGCACAAUAGGAUUAAUCCCAUCAACUCACGAUAGCUACACAAAUUAAUUAUCAAACUAAAAAGGGUAUAUCUUUAGAGUCGAUAUUUCGGAAAAUGUAUAUGGGGUCAAGCAAGAAAAACCCCUCUUAAGGAAUGUACAGGCACUAAUAUAUGUGAAAUCUUAAGGUGGUAGUUUUGUAAUAAUUAAUAAAAAUGUAUAUCUUCAUUCUUAA
This is a long non-coding RNA of Olea europaea var. sylvestris, 1489 nucleotides long. RefSeq lists it as uncharacterized. The record is from RefSeq and is a predicted model, not a curated record. Lineage: Eukaryota; Viridiplantae; Streptophyta; Magnoliopsida; Lamiales; Oleaceae. The transcript has 2 exons.